This 229-nucleotide ribosomal RNA is filed under the name uncultured bacterium. RNAcentral describes it as "partial 16S ribosomal RNA". It matches the Rfam family "Bacterial small subunit ribosomal RNA", at positions 568 to 796 of the family's 1533-position model. The record is from RNAcentral.
UGCGUAGGCGGAAUAUUAAGUCAGUGGUGAAAUCCUGCGGCUCAACCGUAGAACUGCCAUUGAUACUGAUAUUCUUGAAUGUAGUUGAGGUAGGCGGAAUGUGUAAUGUAGCGGUGAAAUGCUUAGAUAUUACACAGAACACCGAUUGCGAAGGCAGCUUACUAAACUAUGAUUGACGCCGAGGCACGAAAGCGUGGGGAGCGAACAGGAUUAGAUACCCUGGUAGUCC